AGAGUUUGAUCAUGGCUCAGAACGAACGCUGGCGGCAUGCUUAACACAUGCAAGUCGAACGAUGGCUUCGGCCAUAGUGGCGCACGGGUGAGUAACGCGUGGGAACCUGCCUUCUGGUUCGGAAUAACCACGGGAAACUGUGGCUAAUACCGGAUAAGCCCGCAAGGGGAAAGAUUUAUCGCCAGGAGAGGGGCCCGCGU
RNAcentral lists this ribosomal RNA (200 nucleotides) under uncultured bacterium. RNAcentral describes it as "partial 16S ribosomal RNA". It matches the Rfam family "Bacterial small subunit ribosomal RNA", at positions 8 to 236 of the family's 1533-position model. The record is from RNAcentral.